RNAcentral lists this ribosomal RNA (317 nucleotides) under uncultured Sphingobacteriales bacterium. Its description in RNAcentral is "bacterial SSU rRNA". It matches the Rfam family "Bacterial small subunit ribosomal RNA", at positions 1064 to 1382 of the family's 1533-position model. Lineage: Bacteria; Pseudomonadati; Bacteroidota; Sphingobacteriia; Sphingobacteriales. The record is from RNAcentral.
GCCGUGAGGUGUCGGGUUAAAGUCCCAUAACGAGCGCAACCCUUAUCGUAGUUGCCAUCUGGUAAAGCAGGGGACUCUAGCGAAACUGCCACCGUAAGGUGAGAGGAAGUGGGAUGACGUCAAAUCAGCACGGCCCUUAUGUCCAGGGCUACACACGUGUUACAAUGGCCGGUACAGAGGGCAGCUACCUGGUGACAGGAUGCUAAUCUCGAAAACCGGUCUCAGUUCGGAUCGAAGUCUGCAACUCGACCUCGUGAAGCUGGAUUCGCUAGUAAUCGCGCAUCAGCCAUGGCGCGGUGAAUACGUUCCCGGGCCUU